This 1007-nucleotide ribosomal RNA is filed under the name Bacillus subtilis. Its description in RNAcentral is "bacterial SSU rRNA". It matches the Rfam family "Bacterial small subunit ribosomal RNA", at positions 56 to 1045 of the family's 1533-position model. Lineage: Bacteria; Bacillati; Bacillota; Bacilli; Caryophanales; Bacillaceae. The record is from RNAcentral.
UGCAGUCGAGCGGACAGAUGGGAGCUUGCUCCCUGAUGUUAGCGGCGGACGGGUGAGUAACACGUGGGUAACCUGCCUGUAAGACUGGGAUAACUCCGGGAAACCGGGGCUAAUACCGGAUGGUUGUCUGAACCGCAUGGUUCAGACAUAAAAGGUGGCUUCGGCUACCACUUACAGAUGGACCCGCGGCGCAUUAGCUAGUUGGUGAGGUAACGGCUCACCAAGGCGACGAUGCGUAGCCGACCUGAGAGGGUGAUCGGCCACACUGGGACUGAGACACGGCCCAGACUCCUACGGGAGGCAGCAGUAGGGAAUCUUCCGCAAUGGACGAAAGUCUGACGGAGCAACGCCGCGUGAGUGAUGAAGGUUUUCGGAUCGUAAAGCUCUGUUGUUAGGGAAGAACAAGUGCCGUUCAAAUAGGGCGGCACCUUGACGGUACCUAACCAGAAAGCCACGGCUAACUACGUGCCAGCAGCCGCGGUAAUACGUAGGUGGCAAGCGUUGUCCGGAAUUAUUGGGCGUAAAGGGCUCGCAGGCGGUUUCUUAAGUCUGAUGUGAAAGCCCCCGGCUCAACCGGGGAGGGUCAUUGGAAACUGGGGAACUUGAGUGCAGAAGAGGAGAGUGGAAUUCCACGUGUAGCGGUGAAAUGCGUAGAGAUGUGGAGGAACACCAGUGGCGAAGGCGACUCUCUGGUCUGUAACUGACGCUGAGGAGCGAAAGCGUGGGGAGCGAACAGGAUUAGAUACCCUGGUAGUCCACGCCGUAAACGAUGAGUGCUAAGUGUUAGGGGGUUUCCGCCCCUUAGUGCUGCAGCUAACGCAUUAAGCACUCCGCCUGGGGAGUACGGUCGCAAGACUGAAACUCAAAGGAAUUGACGGGGGCCCGCACAAGCGGUGGAGCAUGUGGUUUAAUUCGAAGCAACGCGAAGAACCUUACCAGGUCUUGACAUCCUCUGACAAUCCUAGAGAUAGGACGUCCCCUUCGGGGGCAGAGUGACAGGUGGUGCA